This 109-nucleotide ribosomal RNA is filed under the name Vibrio cyclitrophicus. The record is from RNAcentral. RNAcentral also lists the same sequence under 2 other names. Lineage: Bacteria; Pseudomonadati; Pseudomonadota; Gammaproteobacteria; Vibrionales; Vibrionaceae.
ACCAUAGCAUUGUGGACCCACCUGAUUCCAUGCCGAACUCAGAAGUGAAACACAAUAGCGCCGAUGGUAGUGUGGGGCUUCCCCAUGUGAGAGUAGGACAUCGCCAGGC